AGGAAAUAGUUUAUAAAAAUUUUAAUUUUGGAGAUUGAAGAUAAAGAAGUUUCUUUUUUUCUGAU
RNAcentral lists this transfer RNA (65 nucleotides) under Lamiinae sp. 4 ACP-2013. RNAcentral's name for it is "tRNA-Pro". The record is from RNAcentral. Lineage: Eukaryota; Metazoa; Arthropoda; Insecta; Coleoptera; Cerambycidae.